This 253-nucleotide ribosomal RNA is filed under the name uncultured bacterium. Its description in RNAcentral is "partial 16S ribosomal RNA". It matches the Rfam family "Bacterial small subunit ribosomal RNA", at positions 524 to 776 of the family's 1533-position model. The record is from RNAcentral.
UACGAGGGGGGCAAGCGUUGUUCGGAAUUAUUGGGCGUAAAGGGCGCGUAGGCGGUGCGGUAAGUCUGAUGUGAAAUCUCCGGGCUCAACUCGGAGUCUGCAUCAGAAACUGCCGUGCUCGAGUGUGGGAGAGGUGAGUGGAAUUCCCGGUGUAGCGGUGAAAUGCGUAGAGAUGCGGAGGAACACCGAUGGCGAAGGCAGCCCCCUGGGCCAACACUGACGCUCAGGCACGAAAGCGUGGGGAGCAAACAGG